RNAcentral lists this unclassified non-coding RNA (323 nucleotides) under soil metagenome. RNAcentral describes it as "partial contains 5.8S ribosomal RNA, internal transcribed spacer 2, and large subunit ribosomal RNA". The stretch from base 1 to 120 matches the Rfam family "5.8S ribosomal RNA", at positions 35 to 154 of the family's 154-position model. The record is from RNAcentral.
GAUGAAGAACGUAGCGAAAUGCGAUAAGUAGUGUGAAUUGCAGAAUUCAGUGAAUCAUCGAAUCUUUGAACGCACAUUGCGCCCCUUGGUAUUCCAUGGGGCAUGCCUGUUCGAGCGUCAUUUGUACCUUCAAGCUUUGCUUGGUGUUGGGUGUUUGUCCUGAGGGACUCGCCUUAAAGUAAUUGGCAGCCAGUGUUUGGUUUUGAAGCGCAGCACAAGUCGCGAUUCAAAGCUAUACGCCCGCUUCCCCAAGCCUUUUUCACUUUUGACCUCGGAUCAGGUAGGGAUACCCGCUGAACUUAAGCAUAUCAAUAAGCGGAGGA